UAGGCAAAAAAAUUAUUAUGCCGUUGUUAUAUUUUCAUUGCGAAUUAAUAAAUUAAUAAGCUGUAUUUAAUAGGGUAUAUAACAACAUAUGCUUAUUAGUUGAGAUUGAAAUCUGUGUAGGGCUACAUAAAGAUCGCAAUAAAGGAAUAUGGUUGCUAAGACUACACUUGUGUUACUUUUGGCUAUUGUUGUUAUGGCAACAGUGAAGGGAAAAGCGGUUGGAAAAUCAGAACGUGGAUCAUCAUGUGUAAGGAAUUUUUGUAAUGUUGGGGAGGAACCGUGUUGUGGAAGAAAUAAAAGAUGUCACUGUUUUGGUGACAGAGCCAAAUGUCGUGUUGGAUUAUGCCGUGAAAUUAAACCUCGGUAUGAGUAUUAUUGGUGAAACCAAGGCUACCGGAUGUGAAAGAAGAAUAGAAGAGGAACCAAAAAUUAAUAUAUAGACCAUACAUGAACAAUAAAAAAAGAGAUUUAAAUCAAUAAAGCAGUUCUUCUUCAA
Long non-coding RNA from Patella vulgata (common limpet), 496 nucleotides. RefSeq lists it as uncharacterized. NCBI's taxonomy places the organism in Eukaryota, Metazoa, Mollusca, Gastropoda, Patellidae. The record is from RefSeq and is a predicted model, not a curated record. The transcript has 4 exons.